RNAcentral lists this ribosomal RNA (492 nucleotides) under uncultured bacterium. Its description in RNAcentral is "bacterial SSU rRNA". It matches the Rfam family "Bacterial small subunit ribosomal RNA", at positions 29 to 509 of the family's 1533-position model. The record is from RNAcentral.
AACGAACGCUGGCGGCGUGUCUUAAGCAUGCAAGUCGAGCGGCAAGCAGUAGCAAUACUGCCUAGAGCGGCGGACUGGUGAGUAACGCGUGGGUGAUCUGCCCUUGGGAUGGGGAUAGCCGUUAGAAAUAGCGGGUAAUACCGAAUACGUUCGUCGGACUACGGUCCGAUGAAGAAAGGCGCUUUGGCGCCACCCGAGGAUGAGCCUGCGUCUCAUUAGCUAGUUGGUGGGGUAAAAGCCUACCAAGGCGAUGAUGAGUAGCCGGCCUGAGAGGGUGUACGGCCACACUGGGACUGAGAUACGGCCCAGACUCCUACGGGAGGCAGCAGCUAAGAAUAUUCCGCAAAUGGACGAAAGUCUGACGGAGCGACGCCGCGUGGAUGAUGAAGGCCGUGAGGUUGUAAAAUCCUUUUGCUGGGGAAGAAUAACCAUGGGAGGGAAUGCCCGUGGGAUGACAUGAACCGGCGAAUAAGCCCCGGCUAACUACGUGCC